This is a long non-coding RNA of Oncorhynchus tshawytscha (Chinook salmon), 609 nucleotides long. The record is from Ensembl. Lineage: Eukaryota; Metazoa; Chordata; Actinopteri; Salmoniformes; Salmonidae.
AUGGACGACAAGCAGCAGGAGAUCAACAACCUGGGGAACAACAAGGCUAACAAUCUCUUCCAGCUCUAGGAGCUGGCCAAGAAGUACAGAGACAGUGAGCAGGUGGUCAUCAAGGACAGGAUGGAGAAAGAGGCCCUACACAGGCAGCUGGAGAAGGAACACAUGGAGCGAGACGCAGCCACCAAGAUGACCGGCUUAUUGUUGCUACAGUUGAUGUCGGAGUAUGGAAGUAUGCUUGAGGUCAAAGUCCAUUUGGAAGAGCCAUUUGUGACCAAGCUUUAUCUUCCUGACUGAUGUCUUGGGAUGUUGCUUCAAUAUAUCCACAUACCUUUCCCACCUCAUGAUGCCAUCUAUUUUGUGAUGGUAAAACAAGUCCUAUAUCGACAUAACCUGAAAGGCUGCUCAGCAAGGAAGAAGCCACUGCUCCAAAAUCACCUUAAAAAAGCCUGCAUAUGGGGACAAAGAAUGUACUUUCUGGAGAAAUGUCCUCUGGUCUGAUGAAACAAAAAUGUAACUGUUUGGCCAUAAUGAACAUCAUUAUGUUUGCAGGAAAAAGGGGGAGGCUUGCAAGCCGAAGAACACCAUCCCAACCGUGAAGCACAGGGGUGG